UAAUUAACUUUACUAUUUUACUGAAAAAAUCCUAGGUAGUCCUGUCUGUAUCCUUCACAGUAAUGGGUUAAACGCAGAGGGCAAUUCCUCUGUGUGUAGCAUAACAAUAUGUACAAUGACAAAUAAGAUAUCUUCGAUUCGCGCGCUCGUCUCACGUACGCGCGCGUGUGAAUCUCCUCGCGGGAUACGUAUGGCACGGCGCCGCGCACUCCAGUGUAUGCUAAUGUGUAGUCGUAUGCGAAUGUGUGUAUCUGUGUGUAGUAACCCAGAACAGCAGAGCUCUCUCUCUAACUCUCUCUCACUCACUCACUCUCUCACUCUCUCUCUCAGCCAGACAUGGCGGCGGAUCUUCACUCGGGCUUUUUUUCCUGCCUUCCCUCUUCUUGGAGUUACGGGGUGACGCAGGAUGGACGCAUAUUCUUUAUUAACGAGGAAACGGAGAGCACAACCUGGCUGCAUCCCGUCACGGGAGAAGCCGUAAUCACGGGGCACAGAAAAUCACCAGAUUUACCAACAGGAUGGGAAGAAGGAUUCACCUUUGAGGGGGCUCGCUGCUUCAUCAACCACAACGAGCGGAAGGUGACCUGUAAGCACCCCAUGUCAGGAGCUCCUUCCCAAGACAACUGCAUCUUUGUUGUUAGUGAACAGUCGGCUCCCAAGUCUUCACCAGAGCUAAGUACCUGCAGCGACAUGAAGGAAGACGCUGUGAUCAACAAGAGCGAGACAUCAAGCUACAUGAGCGGACCACACUAUAGCACCUUUCCCCGUAGUAACACCAUCACAGACUCCAGAACGGCCACCACCCAGGGCACCGCUUCAUCAACACGGCUGUCGAGGUCGUUCAAAAAAGUCCACAACUUUGGCAAAAGGUCCAACUCCAUCAAGAGGAACCCUAAUGCCCCGGUGGUCAAAAGCAGCUGGCUUUAUAAGCAGGACAGCACAGGAAUGAAGCUGUGGAAAAAGCGAUGGUUUGUGCUAUCAGACAUGUGUCUCUUUUACUACAGAGACGACAAAGAAGACAGCAUCCUGGGGAGUAUUCUGUUGCCCAGCUUUCACAUCUCCAUGUUAUCAGUGGACGACCACAUCAGCCGAAAAUACGCCUUCAAGGCCACUCACCCCAACAUGCGUACAUAUUAUUUCUGCACCGAUACGGCCAAAGAGAUGGAGUCUUGGAUGAAGGUCAUGACAGAUGCUGCCCUUGUCUACUCAGAACCAACCAGAAGAACCAACAAGUCGAAGGUGGAGCAACGUUUACCUCAACAGUUCAACAACCUGGUGAACCACAGAGCCCUCACGAGCCCCGAGAUCCAAAACAACGAAUCCAACCGCGAACAUACACGACAGCACUCUAUUUCGCACGCCGACGACAAUCGGCAAAUCGAUUUAAAGAAACACGGCAGCCAACAAGAAUGUAUGUACUACACUUUACAGCAAGACUCCUUGAAGAGAGAUGGCAGCAAAUGUUUGAAGCAGAAAGAAGAAGAGAAGAACCUUGUGCACAAGAACGGAGAGAAGUACUUGUUGCAAAAAGAUGGAGAGAAUUGCUACCUGCCGAAAGAUGAGGAGGUACACGGCAUACAUAGAGAUUCGGAGAAGUACAAUAUCGUGAAAGUGGGCGAUAAGUACACGGUGUCACAGGAGAAACAUGCUUUGUCUAAAGAUGGAGGGAAAUAUCUGUUUGCCAGAAAUGGUGAUAAAUAUGCAAUGCAGAAAAGCGAAGACAGACACGCGUCACUAAAAGGACAGAAAUGUGUUUCUCACAAGGAGGUAAAGAGACAUCCGUCCUCGAGGGAGGCAGAAAAAUACUGCACUAUGAGAGUUGGGGAGAAUAUAUAUGGUACAUUACAGGUUGCGAACAAAUAUGGAACUUUAAGGGACAUGAAAAAAUACAACACGCUACAAGAAGGGAGAAAAUACGCCACCCUCAGAGAUGCGGAGAAGUAUGCAACGGUACGUAAUGUUGGGAAAUACAGUCUUCAGAGGGAGCCGAUUAUAGAGAGGUCUAUUAUCAAGAACAGCAGCAACAGACUGCAGCCUGUCCAAGUGGCUGCUGUGUCCACAUCUCCGCUGGGACAGACCUGUCUCACUGAAGAAAAGACUGCGUGGGUCCAAAAUUCCGAGUCUGGGGUUAAGACUAAGGAGCAGUCUGAUUUGAACUCCAGGACGGAACCUGCGGAGAGCGGCCAGUGUGUUGGUCCAGGAACAUACCCCGCUGCAGGGCAGAAAGACGAGAAAGACCUGGACAGGGCCAACUUCAUGCAGCAGCUGGAGCGGUGGGUCCACACGCAGCGAUCGAAAGGUCUGGAAGACGACAUCAGGAGCGUGACCUCCUAUCAGACCUUACCCAGGAACAUGCCCAGCCAUAGUGCUCAGAUUGUGAACCACUACCCCGAGGGCUACCGCACAAUGCCCCGCAACAGGAUGGUGAGGCCUGGCAGCAUCUGCAGCACAGCGGGUUCUGUGUUUGACCUAGCACUCCAUCGCAACUCCACUGCAAUGACCGCAGUGGAGAAGAGAAGGUCUCUGAAGGACAUCACCAUGUGGCAGCUGUACGAGUGGCAGCAAAGGCAAGCUUUCUCCAGGCAAAGUUUAGCUCAACCAACAGCUAUUGGUCACUACUGCACCCUGCCGAGCUCAAAGACCAUCAACACCAUCUCUGAACACACUGUGGCUCACUCCAUCCCCAGCUCUACCUCCCAUGGCUCCCUGGCCCUCUACAGCACCUUUUCUGCUUUCUGUCAGCAGAUUGCUCACAAGCCAGCCAACGUUUCGGAAGAUCCGUCCCAAGUGUUUCCCAGAAAUGGGACACUGGACUGCAGACAGAGGGCGCGCCUUGCUAAGCAGUACGGCAACCCAACUGACCCACAAUCAGUUGCACCUGCUUCCCUUCCUCAGACCAUUACUGCUCAGUCCUUGCAAAGAAAAACGCCUGAAGAGCUGACACUUGAGUUGAUCAAACUCCGUCGGAAGCAAGCAGAGCUAAACAGCCUGCGAGAGCACACAACAGCUCAACUGAUGGCUCUCGGUUUGGAGGGCUCCAACGCCAAGAAUGAUGUUCUUUUACAUCACCUCCAGAGGAAUAUUGUUUACCUGGACAGCCAGACGAAGGAGAACGAGCCUUUAAUCUUCAUGAUUCAUACUAUGAUCGAGAACUCAGCACCAAGACCACAGCUCUACCAGCAGGUCGGCACAGACUACUGCAAAGACAACGUCCAUCACGCGGACGAGGCCGAUGUAGACGUAAGAAACUGUCAGACACACUCUCUGACACAUUUGUACUGGCCAAUAUUCAGGAGUGUGUAUGUGUGUUUGUGUGUGUGUACGUGUCAGACCAAGCUAAGCAGACUGUGUGAACAGGACAAGGCUGUGAGGACGCAGGAAGAGAAAAUGCAGCAGCUUCACAGAGAGAAGGACACUUUGGAGACGGCUUUACUCUCAGCCAGUCAGGAGCUGAGUGAACAGAGCGACUGCAGCGCUGCAGCCACACAGAGUCUGGGUCAGCAGAGAGACGUGCUCCAGAGUGGCCUGCUGAGUACUUACAGAGAGCUGUACAGAGUCAACACUGAGCUGGAGCAGUCGUGGAAGGAGUAUAACAGACUGGAGGCAGACGUUAAUCUGACCAAAUCCAAUCUGCUAGAAAAGCUGGAAGCCCUGGGCAGUCCACAGACAGAGCCUCCCAGCCAGUGGCACAUCCAGAUCCAAAAGGAGCUGUGGAGAAUCCAGGAUGUGAUGGAGGCUCUUUCCAAAAAUAGGCAGCAGUGUCGCACAGAAAAUGAGAUUCCUGGUUCAAAACCUUUAUUCAGUCUGCAGAAAAAUGAAACAUUGCCGCUGCUCAAACCUCUGGAAGAAGGCGGUGCCAUGCCUCCUCGCCCACCCCUUCCCCAGUGCUACCAUUCGUCGGAGAGGCCCUCCCACUUGCCUCCCCACCACUUACACCACAAUGGCUGUUUGCCACACCAAGCAGCGAAGUCGGAUGAUCCAAAGACUGCCUCUAGGAAUGGAGCGUACAAUCAAGGUUCAGACUAUCGUCUGUGUAAGAGUGAGCCUGAGCUGACCACAGUGAAGGAGGAAGUGGAUGAGGAAAAGGAAAAGACAGAACCCCCAGCUGAGAGUAAAGAUACUGCAGUCUCCAAAGUUCCACCGUGCCCCGUGGGUAUAGUUCCUCCCAGGACCAAAUCUCCAAUAAAUCCUCCUGAGUCCUCUACCAUUGCUUCUUAUGUUACCUUGAGGAAGAACAAGAAGCCUGAGUACAAGUCAAACCGUCCCAGGAGUUCAACUGAUCAGUCAGAUUUCAGUCUCGGUGUGAGAGAGAUUGGCCGAGCAAGGAUGAGCUUGGAGGAACAACUGGAGAGGAUUAGAAGAAACCAGGAGGCCCCCCUGCUGAGAGAGAAGAGACGGGAGACCUAUUGUCGCUCAACUACCGACAACACUUUGUUGGUCCCCCAGACCCAAGCCCAGCCAAAGCGAAUCUGUGCCGAUACUGUGAAGCUGGAAGCAGCUUUGCAGCAGCUGAAGUUGGAUCUUACUGAACAGAGCAGGACACCUGCUGAGUCUGCGCCACAACCAGCUGAUGCCCAGGCCCUUUCACCGGAGAGACAGGAAACUGAGGAGGCCACGAACGAGAAUUUAGAGCAGUGCAGACACGCGACUCUACACAGUGUGAAAGAGCAGUUGGAGGAGAGCAACAGCACAGACGGUUAGGUACUGGAACACUGAACAGCAGCUGCAUGGAAAAGUAAUGUUCCAAAACACUGCACAACCACGUUAUAGAGGUAGAGGUACUUGAACACGUCACAGCAAUGUCACUGACAUACAGUAUAUAGCUACAGGUUAGUGAGGGGGAUGUGUGUGAGUGAUUGAAGAGUCACAGGCAGAAUUCUGUUCAAUUGUGCCCCCUGCUGUUGGAGAGGAGCUCCUACAGAGUCACUCAGUGCAAGCUUGUAGCUAUGGUGAUAGUUGACAGUGAGUUGGUCUUGUGGCGUGUCGGUAGUUAAUAUCGUUAAGUUUAUAUAAGAGUCGCCGUGCUUAUUUUUAUUUCAUUAUUAUUGUUAUAGAGUGCGUUCAUAAACCACACAGGAAGUCUGGUGAGCAGUGACACCUGAGUGGCAACAGGAAGUGACAUUUGAAAAUGGCGGCCCUUAGAACAAGGGUCUCAAACUCUGCCAGGGUAAUUUCAUUUCAGGGCCACAUAAUUGUUUGAUAUUUAAUACAAUAAAAAAUAGAUAUUCUAGAAGAAAUAGUAUUUGUUUAAUAUAAAAACCAUAUAAUGCUACAGUACAAGCAGCUUGUACAACUCAUUUUUUCCAUUCUCAAAUGACAAAUAAAUAAUUUAAAUGAAUACAGGUAUUUUAUAAAUUUAAAAAAAACAUCAAGGGCCAAAUUUAAUUAAUAGGCAGUUUGAGACUACUGUUUUAGAGCCAAAGUUCAGCUAGCCUGCUCAUUUGGAAUACCGAUGCAAGGAAAGGCUGCCCUGCUAACAGACCAAACCACAUGAGGAUGAACUGCCAACACAGUAAAGUGAGAGAGAAAUAUUUACCCAUGCCGAAAUAUUCUGAAUGUAACGUUAAUUUUAAGUUGUCUUAAUUAUCUAGAAACAUCAUCAAUACAGAAACAUUUCCCAAAGAUUUGUUAUAAUUGUAGUUAACAGGAGUUGAUCACACAUUCAUCUUUAAGUAAAAAUAUGAAGCUUAAAAAAGGAAGCCAAAAAAAGAGGACAAAAAACAAAACAAAUGACAAAUCAAUUCUUGGUUAAAUAAUAAUUAUGCAAAAAAUUUUUUUUGUCAGACUUAAUAGUCAGUGCUGUCUUCCAUUAAUCAACUGGUACUUUCAGAAUAGUACAAGAAUAAAGUGCUGUUCUGAAUUUGCUGAGAUUUUUAUGUAAUUAUUGAUCGUUAUUAGUUAAUAUUAUGUUAAUUAAUCUCCUUUGGUUAGCUUUAACAAUGCUAAAUAAAACAUUCACAAUCUUUACUAUACGUCUGAUUUGGGGCAAUGAACAUGUAGCAAAUAUAUAUACAUAUCUGUAUACACAUAUUUCAUACUGUUCUAAGUAAUAAAGCCACAAUAUUGACAUAACAGCUAUUUAAGAAUUUAUAAAUGCUAACGACGGGAAGAGAAUAAUGCUAGCUUAUACAGAGUUGCUAGUGGCUA
Cynoglossus semilaevis (tongue sole) is the source of this 6147-nucleotide RNA transcript. It is a transcript of the gene named pleckstrin homology domain-containing family A member 5-like, with no coding region annotated. The transcript has 28 exons. NCBI's taxonomy places the organism in Eukaryota, Metazoa, Chordata, Actinopteri, Pleuronectiformes, Cynoglossidae. The record is from RefSeq and is a predicted model, not a curated record.